This 5798-nucleotide long non-coding RNA is filed under the name Sus scrofa (pig). RNAcentral describes it as "lncRNA (ENSSSCG00040028249.1)". The record is from RNAcentral. Lineage: Eukaryota; Metazoa; Chordata; Mammalia; Artiodactyla; Suidae.
AGUUGAGUAAAUAUUUGUUGGGGCAGGUGCAGAAUGAGACCACCAGCCAGCCCCAUCCUAGGGUCCUGGGCUUGGGACUAUGUACACAACCUACAACUACCAGUCCUUCUAGGCUUAGAGCUCCAAAUGGGGACUCACCAUGAAGGGGUUGAGGAGCCCAGUGGAGACAACAGAGGCCCCAAGUGUGGAGGAAGACAUUUCUGCUAAGCUUGUUCAAUCUCUGUGGAAACAUAAGAGCACAGAAGUCCAGUUCUCACCAGGACACACAUUUGGACAGACCAGGCUCCUCAGGUCUCCACAAUGCCCAUCCCUCCUCCUUGCCUGCUGCUGAUUCUAAUGCUGGGACUCACAGGUGAGCAUUCCUUGGGGUAGAUCCCCUCUCCCUGCCCCCUGCAUCUCCCCCUACCCCUGCACUUCUAGAGUUUCCAUGUAAACUUGGGUGUGCCCUUCAGGGCAGUCAGAACAGGUCAAGGACUGGGCAUUAUCCAGAGCAUGAAAUCAUGGAUCUGAGCAUUUCCUUUUCUGGAUCCAUUUUCUGCAACUGGUUACAAGACUCAUCAAAACAGAUGAUACUUCAAAACUGACAAUAAUAAGAUUAUGUGCCUUAAUUAUCCCAGGGUGAUAAUUGACUAUUACUCCUAAACUGAAAAUGGGGAAACUGAGGCAAAGAGAAUAACUUGCCCAAUGUCACUUACCUAAGGCAGUGGAGAACAGGAUUUGAGUCCAGGCUGUUCAUCUUCAGAGUUGAUUCUUUUAAGCACAUUAUGCAGCUCAGCUUCUCAGAGGAGGCUAAUGGCAGAAAAGAACAGGAAAAGCAAAUAGUAUAUUCGUCAUCACCCAUCCUGCCACUCAAAGCUCACCAGAGCUUAAAUCUUGCUACGUGUACUUCCAAACUUUUGUUAGCGAUGUGUUGGUUGUUUCCUAUGUGCUAAAUUGUUUACUACUUUAUUUUUUAAUUUUUUAUAGCAGAUCUUUUUUAAAAUUUAUUUUAUUUUUUAAAUCAUUUCCCCAAUUUUUUUCCUACUGUACAGCAUGGUGGCCCAGUUACACAUACAUGUACACAUAGCAUUUUCUCACAUUAUCAUGUUCUGUCAUAAGUGACUAGACAUAGUUCCCAGUGCUAAAUUUUUUUUAACUUUUAUUUAUUUUUUUCCUCUUUUUAGGGCUGCACCUGCAGCACAGGGAGGUUCCCAGGCUUGGUGUCGAAUUGGAGCUGUAGCUGCUGGCCUAUGCCACAGCCACAGCACUGCCAGAUCUGAGGUGUGUCUGUGACCUACACCACAGCUCAUGGCAAUGCCGGAUCCCCAACCCACUGAGCAAGGCCAGGGAUUGAACCUGCAUCCUCAUGGAUGCCAGUCAGAUUCGUUUUUACUGAGCCAUGAUGGGAACUCCAAAAUUGUUUACUACUUUUAAUGUGUGUUGUAAUUUCAUUUAAUCUUCAAAACAACCUGUAGGCUAGCACGCUAAGCUACACUUUAAUUCAUGGUUGUGGAUGCCUACAUUUGUGUGUGUGUGUGUGUGUGUGUGUGUGUGUGUGUGUGUGUGUGCCUGUGUGUCUGUGUGUGUGUGUGUGUCUGUGUCUGUGUUUAUGAAUGGGUGUGAGGAAAUGUUCCCAGACACAUGGGAUUUCAAAAAGACUUCCUUAUUGUUGCUCUCAAAUCAUUUUUAGUUACAUUAAAAAACAUGAACAGAUAUUUAGUAUUUGUUGUCUUUUAGCAACAUCUCUCCUUGUUUGCUUCUCUAUAAAUCUACCUCUUUCUCUUCCCCAAGCUGUUAAGACAAGGAAACUUCUCUUUUGGUAAAUGAAUAGAAUUUUGUGCAUUGCUAUCUCAGCAUCCCCUCUUCCUUGCUCAGUAGGGGUGAGGAAGAAAGAAGGGGAUUCUUGCCUAUAUUACUUAUAUCUAUAUUAUAUUCAUAUUUUCUAUAUCUGUGAUUAUAUCCAUAUCUAUAUAUCUGUCUUUAUCUCAUGCUAGUUGAAUACUCCAGGUCUUAGGAGAUCAAGUGAGUAAUAACUUUUCAUUUUCUUGAACACUCACCAUGUGCCUGACACUGCUGGAAGUGCCUUUUGGUUGUUAACUCAUGUGAUCCUUAUAUCUAAGCUAGAUGCUCUUGUCACCCCUGCCUUACAGAUAAGAAAACUGAGCAAGGAGAGGUUCAAGGUCAUUCAGUGGUAAAUGGGAGAGGUAUGAUUUGAACCCAAGCAACUAGAGCUCAUAGAUUUAACCAUUGUUCUCAAUACUGUGCCCCUGCUUCCAAUUCAUGAGGUUUCUGCAGCUUCUGCCAAUACAUGUGGAGAAGGGUGAGAGUGUGGAGAAGAGGGUUUGUGGUUUUCUUCUGCUGGGCUCUUCUGCUUCCUUCAUACAGGCAAAUCGCUUUUGUUUUUUACCAAAUAAUCUAUAUGGGAAACUCAGUUUCUGACGUAAUUUCCACAGAGAUUACCCACUUAAAAUUCAGCACCUCAGAGAGAUAAUCACACUUGACAAUUCAUACAUCAUACAUAUAUUUUUGGAUACCUACUAUGUGCCAGGAAAUGUUACAGGAACUUGGGAUGCAGUGGUGUGUUAAAGAGACAAAGCAGGUGCCUUCAUGAUUAUUCUUAGUAGAGAAAAUAACAAUAAACAAUAGUUAAGUAAAUGGUAUAACCAGUUAGAAAGCGAUAGGUGUUUUUCAAAAAGAGUAGCGGAUAAUAUCAUUGGGAGAAUCUGUAGGGCAGGAUAUGUUUUAAACAUGACAGUCCUGGGUGGGCAUCCUUGAGAAGGGGACAUGUGAGCAAAGACUGAAAGAAGGUGCUGGAGUGAGCCAUGUGGUCACCUGGGGGAAGAGCCUUUCUUAUAGGGAUCAGCAUGUGCAAAGGCCCCAAGAAGAUAAUCUUCCUCCUGAGAUCAAGGAUUUGGACUUUUGCUCUGAGUGAAAUGGUUGCCAUAACAAGGUUUUGAAGGGAGAACUGACGAGAUCUGACAUGAGUUUUCAUUUAUUCUAACAUUUGGUUGAGAGUUGAGUACCACAGGAUGUAGACAGACGCAACUAGAGCAUUUGAAGUCAUUACAUUCAUGCAAAAUGCAAUACAAUAAAAUUAAACUGGCUGCACCUGGACAGUAGUAGAUAUGGAAGAAAGAGUUCAGAUUUUGGCUGCACGCUGAAGAAGAGGCAACAGGAUUUCCUCAUGCAUAGGAUCUGGGCUGGGAGAGAAAGAAUUCAAUAUUCUGAGACAUGAACUUCUGGAAGAAAAACUUAGCUGAACUGAAAUCACAUCUUGCAAUGUUGAACCACAAGAUUUUCUCCUUACAGUGCAGGGAAGCAAUAAAAAAGAAACAGGAUGGUUUGUGGUGCAACAACAGCUCUGAUUUAUAGCCCUGCUAUCAGACCAUACCUGUUUAAUAGAACAUUUCAGCUAAGAAAAGCAACAGAUUUUCAUGUGUUGAUUUUAUAUCUCAAAAUUUGCUGAAUUUUUAAAUUAGCUCUGACAGUUUUGAAUGUUGGAAUCUUUAGAAUUAGGACAUAAAACAUCAUGUCAUGUACAAACAGAGAUAAUUUUCCUUCUUUCUUUCCAAUUUGAAUAUCUGUUGUAUAUUUUUCCUGCCAAAUGGCUUUUCUUGGAACUUCCAGUAUUGUGUAAGCUAGAAGUGGCACAGUGAGCAUCCUCCUUUCUCUUCCUAACCUUAGGUGAAACACUUUCAGAAUUUCAUCAUCAACUAUGCUAUCAGCUGUGGCUUCUUCAUAUGUGACUUCAGCUAUUGGGAUAUGUCCAUCUAUUCCUACUUUAUUGAUUGUUUUUAAUCAUGAAAAUGUGUUCACCUUUGUCAAAUGCUUGUUCUGCAUCAAACAAAAUGAUCUUUUAUUUCUCCUCUUCCUUCAGUUACUGAAGUGGUAAAAUACAUUGUUUGAUUUUCACAAAUCCCAACUGGUCCUGGUGCAUAAUUCUUUUAAUGUGCCAUUGAAUUGGGUGCUAAAUUUUGUUAAGAAUUGCUGCAAUAAUAGUCCAAGAGAUGUUUGUCUGUAUUUUUCUCGUUAUGCCUUUGGUUGGUAUCAGGAUAAUGCCUGAGAAUGAAUUUCAAUAGGAUUCAAUAGGAUUCAGAAAUUUUUUGGGAAGAAUUUGAAGAGGAAUGUUAGUUUUCUUUAAAAGUGUGAAAGCAUUCCCCAGGGAAGACAAGUGGUCUGGAGCCUUUCUAUGUCGGGAGGCUUUUGAUUAUUGACUGAAUCUUCUUACUAGUUAUUGGCCUACUCUCAUUUUCUGUUUCUUCCUGAUUCAACACCUUGGUUUUCUGCUUUUUUGGGAAUGUGUCCAUUUUCUCUAGGUUAUCCAAUUGUUUGGUGUUCAUUUGUUCACAGUACUCUUUUAUACUCCCUUUCAUUUCUGUAAAAUUAUUCGUAUAUGUUCUUUUAUUUCCAAUUUUAGUUCUUUGAGUGUUCUCUCUCUCUUUGUUUUCCCCUUAGUCAAUCUAGCCAAAGUUUUGUCAACUGUGUUGUUAUUUUUGAAGGACCACUCUUGGUUUUGUUGAUUUUCUCUGUUGUUUUUCUAUUCACAUUUUAGUUUUCUCUCCACUAAUCUUGACUAUUUCCUUUCUUCUGCUAACUUUAGGUUUGGGGUUUAUUUGACGCUUCUUUUUCUAGUUUCUUCGAAUAUACUGUAAACUUACUGAUUUAUGAUCUUUUUUAACUGUCUGCAUUUUCAGUUAUUAAUUUCCUUUAUUAAUUUUCUUUUAGAGCUGCUUUCUGUGCACUUCACACGUUUUGAUAUUAUGUGUUUAUGAUUUUUAUUUUUUUGUCUUUUUAGGGCUGCACUCACAGCAUAUGAAAAUUCCCAGGCUAGAGGUUGAAUCAGGCUAGAGGUCAAAUCAGAGCUACAGCUGCUGGCUUAUGCCACAGCCACAGCAACGAGGGAUCUGAGCCGUGCCUAAAACCUAUACCACAGCUCAGAGCAACACUAGAUUCUUGACCCACUGAGUGAGCCCAGAGGUCGAACCUGAGUCCUCAUGGAUGCUAAUUGGGUUCAUUUCUGCUGCACCACAAUGGGAACUCCGGUGUGCUUAUGCUUUUAUUUGUCCCCAAGCAUUCUCCAGUUUCCCUUGAGAUUUCUUCUGUGACCUACUGAUUUUUUUUACGAGGAUGUUGUUUGAUUUCUCUGUAUCCAGGACCAUUUUUUUUUUCUGUUAGUGAUUAAGUUUAAUUUUACAAAGUGUUUGACCAGUAGGCUGCACAAAGAGCCCUUCUCUCAGAUUCCAGUAAACUGUUUUGUCAUUCAUCCUGGGUGCCAAUGACACAUGCGUAUACUACUGUUAUGGCAACUGGCUUCUGUAACUAUCAGAACAGAUGUGUGUGGUAGACAGAAAAGAGCCCCCCUCCUCAAGAGAUUUAUGUCUUAAUACUCACCUGUAUUACUUUACACGUUUACUUUACACGGCAAAAGAGAUUUUUCAGAAAUGAUUAAGAUUCUUGCUAUUUGGAGAAUACCCUAGGUUAUCAAGAUGGCCCAAUAGCAGUGAUGAUGGGGAUAAAAUAAGAUAAUUAGUUAGUUUAAACAUCCCACUAGGGGAUUAAAAACAGAAAGGGAAUUUUUAGGGAGUUUGGGAGAGUGUCAUAAGCUAAUGACCACCCAGGAAAAGACUGCAGUAACCAAGCAAACAUCUACACUACCUUGAAGGAAGACCAAGAACCUCUAGGCUUCAGACACACUGGAGCCGCAAACCAGAUAGAAUAUAGGACAAUCGAUGUGGCAUCUGAAUCUUUUUACAUGAAGUCAAGGAGUUAAUGGUCCUGGAAGACCAGCAUUUCUGCAUAUAUUCAAGAUAAAAAUAUAG